RNAcentral lists this ribosomal RNA (726 nucleotides) under uncultured bacterium. Its description in RNAcentral is "bacterial SSU rRNA". It matches the Rfam family "Bacterial small subunit ribosomal RNA", at positions 57 to 779 of the family's 1533-position model. The record is from RNAcentral.
GCAGUCGAACGGUAACAGGCCGCAAGGUGCUGACGAGUGGCGAACGGGUGAGUAAUGCAUCGGAACGUGCCCAAUCGUGGGGGAUAACGCAGCGAAAGCUGUGCUAAUACCGCAUACGAUCUACGGAUGAAAGCGGGGGACUCGCAAGAGCCUCGCGCGAUUGGAGCGGCCGAUGUCAGAUUAGGUAGUUGGUGGGGUAAAGGCUCACCAAGCCAACGAUCUGUAGCUGGUCUGAGAGGACGACCAGCCACACUGGAACUGAGACACGGUCCAGACUCCUACGGGAGGCAGCAGUGGGGAAUUUUGGACAAUGGGCGCAAGCCUGAUCCAGCAAUGCCGCGUGCAGGAAGAAGGCCUUCGGGUUGUAAACUGCUUUUGUACGGAACGAAAAGGCUCUGGUUAAUACCUGGGGCUCAUGACGGUACCGUAAGAAUAAGCACCGGCUAACUACGUGCCAGCAGCCGCGGUAAUACGUAGGGUGCGAGCGUUAAUCGGAAUUACUGGGCGUAAAGCGUGCGCAGGCGGUUUUGUAAGACAGUCGUGAAAUCCCCGGGCUCAACCUGGGAAUGGCGAUUGUGACUGCAAGGCUGGAGUGCGGCAGAGGGGGAUGGAAUUCCGCGUGUAGCAGUGAAAUGCGUAGAUAUGCGGAGGAACACCGAUGGCGAAGGCAAUCCCCUGGGCCUGCACUGACGCUCAUGCACGAAAGCGUGGGGAGCAAACAGGAUU